AGCCGGCGGGAGAAGCGACGCGGGAGCAGGGACGAAACCGGCGGCGGCACUGAGCCCGAGCGAUGCUCUGCGCCCCGGCCCCCGCACACGGCCCGCCCCGCGCCGGCACACGGCCCCGCCUCCCCGCCCGCCGCCGGCACCGCGAUUGGCUCCGAGCCGAGGGGGGACCGGUUGCGGCGCCACGAUUGGUCAGUACGAGUGUCCAUCAGAAAACAACGCGGUUCUAUUGGAUGGGGAGCGCGCCCGUCACCGCCCUGUGUGGCCGCCUCGGCUCCGCCCCCUCACCGCGUUGCCUGAGGGCUUGGUCGGGAGGAGGCGGCUGGAGACGCGCUGAGGGUCUCCCAGCGCCCGUCCUGCGCCCCCGGCCCCUUUUCUUUGCCGGUCAACGCCUCCGGCCGUCCAGAGCGCCUUUGUCUCCUUCCUAGAGCCACUGGCUGAUGGGGCAGCGGGGGACGCGGACCCCGGCGCUGCGGUCCGCCAGGAGCGGCGCGGCCGGUGUGUCCCGGCUGCGAGGGCCACGGCAGCCGUGAGUUCCCAAGGUCACAGAGGCCUCGGUGAGCCGUGAGACCGCUCCUCACCACCCACACCUGGGCCUCGGCCCCGAGCGAAAAGUUGCUGCUGGUUCACGUGGGCCGAUGAGGUCCGGUGUCCAGCGGGUGAGAAAGAGCAGCGCCCUUCGUGUGGUCCCUGCCAGCUGGGUGAGCUGGAGACCUGUCUGGACAGCUGGAACUGUAGUGCAUGCAGAUCCCACUGUGAAUGCAGCAGAGAUAGAGCAGCAGACAAGAGUCACUCCACUUGUUUGCACUAGUGCAGCCACGGCAAAGAUAAAAGACCCAGUGUCACAGCUUUUACCCAGGUUGCUGAAUUGUCGGCAUAUUUGGAAGAGAUGGAUGUCUCCAGUGAGAUAUGGAUGUGCUGCACACCUUGCCUGUGCCCUGUGUAAGGCUGAGUGCUCAGAAGAAGCCCAGACAGCUUCCUUGCCCUGCCUGGCUCAGGAAACAUGGACACAGAGCCAUGAGGAGUGA
Molecule: long non-coding RNA, 1025 nt
Filed under: Parus major (Great Tit)
Lineage: Eukaryota; Metazoa; Chordata; Aves; Passeriformes; Paridae
Description: lncRNA (ENSPMJG00000003217.1)
Source: RNAcentral